UUGCUUGAAUGACGAGAUA
This 19-nucleotide microRNA is filed under the name Tribolium castaneum (red flour beetle). RNAcentral describes it as "tca-miR-3802-5p". The record is from miRBase by way of RNAcentral. Lineage: Eukaryota; Metazoa; Arthropoda; Insecta; Coleoptera; Tenebrionidae.